This 1115-nucleotide long non-coding RNA is filed under the name Sparus aurata (gilthead seabream). RNAcentral's name for it is "lncRNA (ENSSAUG00010006815.1)". Lineage: Eukaryota; Metazoa; Chordata; Actinopteri; Spariformes; Sparidae. The record is from RNAcentral.
AUGGGCCCAGGUCGUGCUGAGCCUGUGCCAGUGAGGUGGAUGUUGUGUUCACUAUACCGUGGUUGCAACCAAGAAGCAGAAAUCCAUCAGCCCAAGAAAAAAGAGCAGCAGAAAGACAGACACACAGAUUUACAGCCCCUCUAUUUGGAAGCCUUCAGUGCCACCGUAGAAGACCCCAUAACACACCAUCAAUCACCCCAUCUAUAAUCUAACAAACAAAAAUGGAAGAACAUCGGACCUCAGCAACUCCACACGUCAUCAGCAAGAACUACUCUACGCGCACAGCCAGUCUCCAUCCCAGGUCAGAACAAAUGAUGAGGCUUCUACGUGGAUGGAGCCAAAAGUCUAGUUGUCUGAUGGCCAACCGUCAAACAGAGCAACGUGUGGAUAUGCUCUUGAGCUAACUGUUGAUAGUAUUGAUGAACUGGAGGACUUAAUGAGACCAGCCGAUUAACUCGUUGCUAAUCAAUUUCAUGAAUUACAUUUUUUAUGGUGACUCAAGAGUGCGCCCCAGUGGAAACACAAAGGAUCACAGCUUCAACGUGGACAAAUAAAGUGGAAAUGGAUGUUUCACAAAAAAGAGAGACAUUGACUUUUAUUACACUUAUCUAUUCAUGGGGAUUGUGUUAUAAUGUGUGACAAUUGAAUGUAUGUAAUGCAACCUUACUGUAUGUAAUGUGUCUAUUUUGAAAAAUGCAGAAUUAGUCUUUGCAGUUGCUCACUCAGUGGCAUAAAGCUGGAAAAUGUAUGUAUUGUAUCAUACUGUAAAAAUAACAAAGGACUGAAAAGGGCAUGUGUUCCUCCAAAAAGAGAAAAUUACAACCAUACUGUUCCAAUAAAGAGCCGCUUAAAUAAAUAAUAUAGUAUAGACUGCCAUUUCGGAGGUAAUACAGAUGGGCUGUUGUUAAGUAUGGAUAGGGAUUAUUAUGUGGGAUGAUACAGAAAACACUGUGUGAGUGUAAAGGAAUACAUGUACAAUGGAAACAAUUCAUCACAGCUGUCAGCACACAUCGCCUCAAACUAUUGCCACAUUAACACUUAACCUUCUCCAUUCUCCGAGCUAUUUCCUUUGAGGACUGACACAGAAGGGUAUGUAAUAUCUAUCUGCAUGCCAG